GCGGCUCUGGCAACACGCGACGCGAUGAUCUCGCCCCUCCUUUCUCCCAUUUCCACUCCACCUCCGAGAACCUAGCCCCGCCGCAGUCGCAUUCAUCUGCCGCCGAUGCCGCCGCCGGUCCGUCGCCUCACAGGACUCCCGUCCAUACGCAAUUUCAUCUAGGGUUUCAGCAUGGUUGAGCAUAUCCAAAACUAUGAUGUGCUGGAGAAGUGUACAAAAGAUAUACUCUCCAUAAUCAAGCCAACAGAGGACGAUCAGAACAAACGACUGAACGCAAUUCAGGAGAUUGUGGAUUCCAUCUAUUUAGUUGGUCGCUUGGGAGAUGCUGCUGUCAAACCUUUUGGAUCCUUUUUAUCAAAACUUUACGCAAAAUCAGGUGAUUUGGAUGUAUCAGUUGAGCUACCAAAUGUCUCAGGCUUCCCUACAAGCAAGGAAAAGAAGCAAAGUCUCUUGGGAGAACUACAUACGGAUGUAUAUAGACCUGUUUUAGAGUGUCAGUUUAUUUUGCUCCGUAUGUAUUCUAUAUUGGAAUCUCUAAAAGGAAUUAUAUUUAGGAACAGAGGGAGUACUAUGUAGUCAUGCAGUCAUGCUUUUUCUUUGUAGCACCAUGUACUAAGCUUUGGAACUUACAGAUUGUUACCGAGGUACCGGAAGACAUGAAUAUAUGCAUCUUUCUGAAA
This is a long non-coding RNA of Triticum aestivum (bread wheat), 680 nucleotides long. RefSeq lists it as uncharacterized. The transcript has 3 exons. The record is from RefSeq and is a predicted model, not a curated record. Lineage: Eukaryota; Viridiplantae; Streptophyta; Magnoliopsida; Poales; Poaceae.